GCAGUGUUGAGCAGUGGGAGUGAGGUAUUUCAGUGCUGCAGUUGGAAUCCGCCAGUCCAAUGAUUUUAAUCUUUCUUGAACGGCAGCGUCACGCAAGAGCUCCACCUGCUUGGCCAACAGAGAGUCCAGCUGUACCUGAAGACUAUGUCUGAUUGUCUCCUCUCCUUUAGAUUUGGCAAUUGCGAGCUGUUCUCUCACCGUCUCUUGACGCGUAUGAAGAACGUGAAGAGCCUCCUGUAAAUCAUACACACCAUCCUAAGAGAAGGUGACAAAAAGUGAAAGAAAUAGAUGAGCUCAUGCUAAACUUUCAAUAGGAUUAGCUGAGACAGAAUUGAGAGUGUUUUAUAUCUACAUGAUGGCUUCAUUUAUUUGCAUCUCUGGUCGUUGUCACCUUUGAACGAAUUUACACCCCGUGUCGCCCCUUGACAACCUCCGCAUUUUCCACUUAGGUCAUCACAUGUGUGUAUGUGUGUGUGUGAGCUUGUGUGUCCACGUUUGACGUUAGACUCAGGCAGAGACAGGCGCAGCCAUGCGUGGGUUAUUCAGUAAGAACCCACAGGAUGAUGUCAAUUAUGUCUUUCAGUCCACUGUGUACUUCUCCGCCUGUGCGGAUGAAUAAUUGUGCGUUUGUGUACUAAGCUUUUCCUUAUCCAGAGAACCCCACAAAAACAACUUCCGUUAAAAACAAGCUUUUUAAAGCCAGCUAAAACUGAUCACAGUGUUUUAAUUUGACGUCUUAAAAGAGCUUUGUUUGCAAUGGUUUUGUUGACUUAGAGGCCCCACGGAGCUACGAAAACAACGAUAUCAUUUACUUUUAGAUGUUCACCCAGAGGCGCAGACCGUCGCUCAUGUGAAAAGCUGUGUGAACGCGACAUUUUAGAGUGAAUCAUGACAGUAAUUAUUCUCCUGAGAUUAUUAACAGAGAGAGUGCACACACAAACACAGCGCUAAUUCAGACACAGUGGGAAGGCGGCUGGCAAUAAAUAUCAUGACAGGAAUGCAAAACUAAUAAAGAAGUCCCGAGAAACCACCUGGAGCUCGAAAUGAUUGCAAAGCUGAGGCAUCUCAUGCAAAUAAAGCAAUUUAUCGCA
This is a long non-coding RNA of Cyprinus carpio (common carp), 1091 nucleotides long. RefSeq lists it as uncharacterized. The record is from RefSeq and is a predicted model, not a curated record. The transcript is spliced from 2 exons. NCBI's taxonomy places the organism in Eukaryota, Metazoa, Chordata, Actinopteri, Cypriniformes, Cyprinidae.